CCUACGGGAGGCAGCAGUGAGGAAUAUUGGUCAAUGGACGCAAGUCUGAACCAGCCAUGCCGCGUGCAGGAAGACUGCCCUAUGAGUUGUAAACUUCUUUUGUACGAGGAUAAAGUCAGAUACGCGUAUCUUUCUGAAAGUAUUGUAUGAAUAAGGAUCGGCUAACUCCGUGCCAGCAGCCGCGGUAAUACGGAGGAUUCGAGCGUUAUCCGGAUUUAUUGGGUUUAAAGGAUGCGUAGGUGGGCUGUUAAGUUAGUGGUGAAAGCUCGAGGCUCAACCUUAGAAUUGCCACUGAUACUGGUCGGCUAGAGUGUAGUUGCGGUAGGCGGAAUGUGUGGUGUAGCGGUGAAAUGCUUAGAGAUCAUACAGAACACCGAUUGCGAAGGCAGCUUACCAAGCUACUUCUGACGUUGAGGCACGAAAGCGUGGGGAGCAAACAGGAUUAGAUACCCGGGUAGUC
RNAcentral lists this ribosomal RNA (460 nucleotides) under uncultured bacterium. Its description in RNAcentral is "partial 16S ribosomal RNA". It matches the Rfam family "Bacterial small subunit ribosomal RNA", at positions 338 to 795 of the family's 1533-position model. The record is from RNAcentral.